RNAcentral lists this unclassified non-coding RNA (345 nucleotides) under soil metagenome. Its description in RNAcentral is "partial contains 5.8S ribosomal RNA, internal transcribed spacer 2, and large subunit ribosomal RNA". The stretch from base 1 to 120 matches the Rfam family "5.8S ribosomal RNA", at positions 35 to 154 of the family's 154-position model. The record is from RNAcentral.
GAUGAAGAACGUAGCGAAAUGCGAUACGUAAUGUGAAUUGCAGAAUUCAGUGAAUCAUUGAGUCUUUGAACGCACAUUGCGCCCCCUGGUAUUCCGGGGGGCAUGCCUGUCCGAGCGUCAUUGCUGCCCUCAAGCACGGCUUGUGUGUUGGGCCUCCGUCCUCCUCCCGGGGGACGGGCCCGAAAGGCAGCGGCGGCACCGCGUCCGGUCCUCGAGCGUAUGGGGCUUCGUCACCCGCUCUUGUAGGCCCGGCCGGCGCUUGCCGACACAUCAAUCUUUUUUCCAGGUUGACCUCGGAUCAGGUAGGGAUACCCGCUGAACUUAAGCAUAUCAAUAAGCGGAGGA